AGUGAACGCUGGCGGUAGGCCUAACACAUGCAAGUCGAACGGCAGCACAGUAAGAGCUUGCUCUUACGGGUGGCGAGUGGCGGACGGGUGAGGAAUACAUCGGAAUCUACUUUUUCGUGGGGGAUAACGUAGGGAAACUUACGCUAAUACCGCAUACGACCUACGGGUGAAAGCAGGGGAUCUUCGGACCUUGCGCGAUUGAAUGAGCCGAUGUCGGAUUAGCUAGUUGGCGGGGUAAAGGCCAACCAAGGCGACGAUCCGUAGCUGGUCUGAGAGGAUGAUCAGCCACCCUGGAACUGAGCCACGGUCCAGACUCCUACGGGAGGCAGCAGUGGGGAAUAUUGGACAAUGGGCGCAAGCCUGAUCCAGCCAUACCGCGUGGGUGAAGAAGGCCUUCGGGUUGUAAAGCCCUUUUGUUGGGAAAGAAAAGCAGCAGGUUAAUACCCCGCUGUUCUGACGGUACCCAAAGAAUAAGCACCGGCUAACUUCGUG
Molecule: ribosomal RNA, 492 nt
Filed under: uncultured bacterium
Lineage: Bacteria
Description: partial 16S ribosomal RNA
Rfam family: Bacterial small subunit ribosomal RNA
Source: RNAcentral